This 524-nucleotide ribosomal RNA is filed under the name uncultured bacterium. RNAcentral's name for it is "bacterial SSU rRNA". It matches the Rfam family "Bacterial small subunit ribosomal RNA", at positions 981 to 1509 of the family's 1533-position model. The record is from RNAcentral.
UUGACAUCCAGCGAACUUCCAGAGAUGGAUUGGUGCCUCGGAGCGCUGAGACAGGUGCUGCAUGGCUGUCGUCAGCUCGUGUUGUGAAAUGUUGGGUUAAGUCCGCAACGAGCGCAACCCUUAUCCUUUGUUGCCAGCGAUUCGGUCGGGAACUCAAAGGAGACUGCCGGUGAUAAACCGGAGGAAGGUGGGGAUGACGUCAAGUCAUCAUGGCCCUUACGAGUAGGGCUACACACGUGCUACAAUGGCGCAUACAAAGAGAAGCGACCUCGCGAGAGCAAGCGGACCUCAUAAAGUGCGUCGUAGUCCGGAUCGGAGUCUGCAACUCGACUCCGUGAAGUCGGAAUCGCUAGUAAUCGUGGAUCAGAAUGCCACGGUGAAUACGUUCCCGGGCCUUGUACACACCGCCCGUCACACCAUGGGAGUGGGUUGCAAAAGAAGUAGGUAGCUUAACCCUCGGGAGGGCGCUUACCACUUUGUGAUUCAUGACUGGGGUGAAGUCGUAACAAGGUAAGCGUACGUGU